Molecule: ribosomal RNA, 450 nt
Filed under: uncultured bacterium
Lineage: Bacteria
Description: partial 16S ribosomal RNA
Rfam family: Bacterial small subunit ribosomal RNA
Source: RNAcentral
GUGGGGAAUAUUGGACAAUGGGCGAAAGCCUGAUCCAGCCAUGCCGCGUGUGUGAAGAAGGUCUUCGGAUUGUAAAGCACUUUAAGUUGGGAGGAAGGGCAGUAAGUUAAUACCUUGCUGUUUUGACGUUACCGACAGAAUAAGCACCGGCUAACUUCGUGCCAGCAGCCGCGGUAAUACGAAGGGUGCAAGCGUUAAUCGGAAUUACUGGGCGUAAAGCGCGCGUAGGUGGUUUUGUAAGUUGGAGGUGAAAUCCCCGGGCUCAACCUGGGAACUGCCUCCAAAACUGCAGGACUAGAGUACGGUAGAGUGUAGUGGAAUUUCCUGUGUAGCGGUGAAAUGCGUAGAUAUAGGAAGGAACACCAGUGGCGAAGGCGACUACCUGGACUGAUACUGACACUGAGGUGCGAAAGCGUGGGGAGCAAACAGGAUUAGAAACCCCGGUAGUCC